Molecule: transfer RNA, 82 nt
Filed under: marine eukaryotic metagenome
Description: Selenocysteine transfer RNA
Rfam family: Selenocysteine transfer RNA
Source: RNAcentral
GUUGAGUCCCGGUGGGCUCUGCGGUCUUCAAAACCGUUGGUGGGUCGUUUAUGCGAGCCACGGUGGGUUCGACUCCCAUUCA